This 404-nucleotide ribosomal RNA is filed under the name uncultured bacterium. Its description in RNAcentral is "partial 16S ribosomal RNA". It matches the Rfam family "Bacterial small subunit ribosomal RNA", at positions 28 to 526 of the family's 1533-position model. The record is from RNAcentral.
GAUGAACGCUGACAGAAUGCUUAACACAUGCAAGUCAACUGUGGCGGACGGGUGAGUAACGCGUAAAGAACUUGCCUCACAGAUAGGGACAACAUUUGGAAACGAAUGCUAAUACCUGAUACUGUGAGAGGGCUUUGCGUCCCAUUAGCUAGUUGGAGAGGUAACGGCUCACCAAGGCGAUGAUGGGGAGCCGGCCUGAGAGGGUGAUCGGCCACAAGGGGACUGAGAGACGGUCCUUACUCCGACGGGAGGCAGGAGUGGGGAAUAGUGGACAAUGGACCAAAGUCGGAGGAAGCAAUUCUGUGUGAACGAUGAAGUUUUCGGAAGGUAAAGUGCUUUCAGUUGGGAAGCGGUACCAGCAGAAGAAGUGACGGCUAAAUACGUGCCAGCAGCCGCGGUAAUUC